Molecule: unclassified non-coding RNA, 1445 nt
Filed under: Hevea brasiliensis (rubber tree)
Lineage: Eukaryota; Viridiplantae; Streptophyta; Magnoliopsida; Malpighiales; Euphorbiaceae
Source: RNAcentral
CUCAUCUCCACCGUUUUCCACGUUUCUCUCCAAAUUGCUGACAAUUCUUGGAUGUGAUUUUCAUUUUCAUUCAAUUUCUCCAAACCCUAACCCUACAAUCAAUCCUUCCUUCCCGGACGAGAAAAAUUCUGCAAAUGGAAAACGUCUCUUACUCUUCUUAUCCUGAUUCCGGCGACUCGUCUCCUCGCUCUCGCGAUAUCGACGAGAGCCAGUCGUGGGACGAGCUUCCGUCCAAUUACAAAAUCAAAUUAAUAUGUAGUUAUGGAGGUAAAAUCCAGCCGAGACACCACGAUAACCAACUCGCUUAUAUGGGUGGUGAUACGAAGAUUCUCUCCGUCGAACGCAAUGUCAAGUUCUCGGUGAUUAUGAACAGGCUUACUUCUCUCUGUGGCGAUGCUGAUAUAUGCUUCAAGUAUCAGCUACCUGGUGAGGAUCUUGAUGCUUUGAUUUCUGUCACCAACGAUGAGGAUCUCGAGCACAUGAUGCUCGAGUAUGAUAGGUUGUAUCGCGCGUCGGCUAAGCCCGCGAGGUUGAGGCUAUUUCUGUUUCAUUUGAAUCCUUCGAGUUUUGGAUCUGAUGAAGUGAAGUCGGAGCGGCUUUGGUUUGUGGACGCUUUGAAUUUUGUGCCAGUGCAGAAUCAAGAAGUUUCUUCGCCUCCUGCGGCAGCGGUGGCGGCAACAGUGACGGCUGGGAAUCCAGACUUUCUCUUCGGGUUGGAAAAGGGGGCUGUUCCCGUCGCGAAAUUCAUGGAUACAGCGCCGCCACCGCCGACGGUGCCCGUUGGGAACGAUGUUUCCGCUGGAUCCGAGUGUGGAUCGGAGGAUCGGCACGUAAUUGGUGAUACGGUAAUUAAUCAACUGAACCCAGAUUUGCAAAAAUUGCAAAUAUCUGCUGCUCAGGAGCAGUCUAGAAAAAUUGAGGAGGCAAACUCUAGGGGUUAUGCUGUCAAGUACUGCGCUCAACAAGUUAAUGAAAAAAUUCCUCCCCAACCGUCACAGGUUGCGAUGCCGGUACUCAUUCCUGUUCCCGCCACCUACUUGCCGGAAAGGCACAUGAACGCUAGUGGUUAUACUAUUACUGUCCCUGGAACUGAGCAUACAGUUUAUCAAAUUCCUAUGGCGGCUGCUAUGUACCAAGCACCAGCAUUAAGAACGGUGACCGGACAAGUGGGUCAGGGAUAUUAUGGACUGCAGAGGGUUGUACAGGAAGUUUACAGAGAGCAGCCACUGUACAAUGCGGUACCGCCAACAACAACAGUACCUUCACUCCCACCACAACAACAAUCGCCAAUGGUAGGGGUUUACACCGAAGGGAUUGGAAUUGGACAGGCUAAAGUUGGAGUAGCCGAGCAGGGAUAUGUGCAGGUUGGUUACGACACUGCAGGGAGGCAGGUUUAUUAUACUACUACCCCAUAUCAGGCAGUUGCAGCAGAUAAUAGCGCAUUG